GAUUUAUUGUUCCUGGUUGUGUACCAUUAGACAGAAGUGAUGGGAUCAAUAAAACUUGGAAUUGUCUAACAAGAAAGGGCCAGUUUCUUGCUUAUUAUAUUUGUAAUAACAGAGUCCAUUGGGUAGCACUCCGGUCUGUGAAAGUCAGUGAAUCAAUAAUGCUCUUGUGGUCUGGAUAAUAAUAUACCUUGGCAUGGUGUGAGUGAUGCCAGCAGGUGGGCGGAGAGGCAGGGAAGGAAAGGUCUCAUGCCUUUCAGGUUGACACUAAGAAAGAGGCUUCCAUUCCUUUCCCUGUUCUACCACAUUCUCCUAAUGUGUAUAAGAAAUUAUUCAAAGACAGCAACAGAUUUCCCUCCUGACCUUUAUAGUUGCUGGUUUGGAAUGAUUUUUGGCUGCUUGCUGGAAAAAAAAAUUAUUGCAGAGAUGAAUUGUCAGGACAUCCGCUCCCCUUCCCAUCAGCUUUAUAAACAUUUUGUACUGGAGGCAGUGUGUGUGUGCAGAAGAAACGCUAUGGAAAGUGCUGUAGAAACAAGUGUGGUUUGUUGGCUACCAAAUCUCAAGGCUAUGCUCACUGGUCAGAAUGGUUGGUGUCCAGACCCCCAGCCCCUCAGAUUCUGAGAUGUCUGUGUACCAGGGUAGCACCAGGGAUGGGUUUUCUCUGAGACUGUCUUUUCAUGAUACAGUGUAAAAUGUUUCCCAUGAAAGGGCAGAGCUGAAGAAGCAGUGCAAGUCCAUUUGAAGACCUCUGGAAGGAAACCCCCAGCGGCUCUUUUUUCACUGAACAAGCAUUGUGGGAAUUUGGGGCUCGGCUGUGUAAUUUGUCCUCUUCUCAUUCAUUCAGGUACUAGGAGAGCAGGGCAGUAUGGAAAGGUGCUACUUCAAGGGAAAGGCUUUGAGGUUAUUGCAAAUGGUGGGGGACUGGGGUGGAGUGGGCUACAGGUACAGUGACCAGAAGAUGCUGAAUUCCAAACUGUUUCCUAAAGCCUUUCUUCUGGACUCGACAGUUUUCAAAUCUAAAGAACAUAUUGUGUUGUUUGCAAAGGAAAUAUUGUAAUGGCUUCUUAGUUCAUCCAGGAAAAGAGUCUGUCACUAAUGGGCAUUUUGUAAAAUGAAAUCCUUCUAGGGAGAAGGAUAACUGGUCAGAUUUGAAGGUUAAAAAAAAAGGUCUUGACACUGAUCUCGGUUUGCAGAGAAACAAGAAAUUCUGUCUGACUUCUUUUCAGUGGGAGCUAAAAUUUUAACCACCCCGAUUGCACUCACUUAUAUGAAAACGUUAAUGUUAAACAAAUAGGCAGGGAUUUCUUUUAUUAUUAUUUAUAGAGGAGAAUUUUGCCAUCAGGAAACAUGUUGGCUAAUCUGCUUUGGCCAAAUUCUCCUUAGAGACAGUGAUUAAUAGAAGGAAUGAGUGGAAGAUUAGUAUACGCACAAGGCUAUUCAGGAGUGGGGGUAAAAUGUUAAUGCGGUGACCUUUAAAUCUUCAUUUUUCUUUAUUUCCCUGAAUGCUAAUUAAAGGACAUGUUCAGCACCAGGAGGAAUUUGCAUCCAAGUCCGUCUCCCUGCUAAGUGGUAUUUUGAGAAUUCCGAAGCUUAGUCUCAGAGAAGAGCUGACCUGAACUUGCCGAGGCUCCCACUGCAUUGUAGCUUUUCUCUGGAGAACAAAAACUGCCAUUGUCCAGCAGCUCAUUAGCAUGACUGUACAGCCUCCGGAGUUAGCAAGGUGAUGCAAAAAUAAUAUGACAAGAUCCAUGUCUUCAAUGAGCUACAAUCCUACUGGGACAUGAGACUGUGCUUAUAAUAUGAUGAAAGAAUAAGAAAAUUUUAAAGAUGAAAACACAGCAGCAACAGGUGCCAUUUUGGAAGCAAGAAGCAGAGAACAAGCUCUCACUGGGCAUUAAAUCUGCCGGCAUCUUGAUCUUGAACUUCUCAACCUCCAGAACUCUGAGAAAUAAAUUUCUAUUAUUUACAAAUUACCCAGUCUAAGGUGUUUUGUUAUAGCAGCUCAAACAAAUUAAGAUAUCUGUUUAUUGCUUUUGGUAUGUGUUUGUGUUUUAAUUUUCUUGGAAGGUAGAGCAGAGAGACAAAAAUCACCAAAUUUUGGUGACAUGGUUGAAGCUCUGGGUCAAACCAAUCUUUGAGUCCAGCCUCUGAACCUCGCAUUAAAGUCCUUUAUAGUUUAGAUUGGUUAGGAUUAGGUCUCUUGAUGUUUGUUUUCACCUUGAGGGUUCCUAACUGCUACGGGGAGUCAGUGUGAUUUAACUCUAAGUGAAGAAGAACAGUUUAGAGGGAUGAUCCUGCACAUCUGCAUGGUGAUUGAAUUUAUGUCUCCUAUAAUUGUAUAUACAAAAUGAAAGUUUGGACUCUACAGGACAGGAGACUUUCCCCAACUUCUACCCUCCUUUAUCUUUUGCUGAUUAGUAUUGCAACAGGCACCUAACCAAACUCUCUGGCUCUGGGCCUGUGCUGUGUCUUCUAAUCUUCACACAGCUGCCAGCAUUAUCUUUAAAAGACAGAUCUUAUUA
Molecule: long non-coding RNA, 2519 nt
Filed under: Homo sapiens (human)
Lineage: Eukaryota; Metazoa; Chordata; Mammalia; Primates; Hominidae
Description: HSALNT0377164
Source: RNAcentral